UAGGGAAUUUUCCACAAUGGGCGAAAGCCUGAUGGAGCAACGCCGCGUGCAGGAUGAAUGCCUUAGGGUUGUAAACUGCUUUUAUAUGUGACGAUUAUGACGGUAGCAUAUGAAUAAGGAUCGGCUAACUCCGUGCCAGCAGCCGCGGUCAUACGGAGGAUCCAAGCGUUAUCCGGAAUUACUGGGCGUAAAGAGUUGCGUAGGUGGCAUAGUAAGUUAGUAGUGAAAUUGUGUGGCUCAACCAUACACCCAUUACUGAAACUGCUAAGCUAGAGGGCGAGAGAGGUAACUAGAAUUCCUAGUGUAGGAGUGAAAUCCGUAGAUAUUAGGAGGAAUACCGAUGGCGUAGGCAGGUUACUGGCUCGUCCCUGACACUAAGGCACGAAAGCGUGGGGAGCGACCGGGAUUAGAUACCCGUGUAGUCC
RNAcentral lists this ribosomal RNA (425 nucleotides) under uncultured bacterium. Its description in RNAcentral is "bacterial SSU rRNA". It matches the Rfam family "Bacterial small subunit ribosomal RNA", at positions 355 to 796 of the family's 1533-position model. The record is from RNAcentral.